Molecule: microRNA precursor, 64 nt
Filed under: Microcebus murinus (gray mouse lemur)
Lineage: Eukaryota; Metazoa; Chordata; Mammalia; Primates; Cheirogaleidae
Description: microRNA mmr-mir-500 precursor
Gene: mmr-mir-500
Rfam family: mir-500 microRNA precursor family
Source: miRBase by way of RNAcentral
CUAAUCCUUGCUACCUGGGUGAGAGUGCUUUCUGAAUGCAAUGCACCUGGGCAAGGAUUCUGGA